This 1333-nucleotide ribosomal RNA is filed under the name Mycobacterium sp. DWMJ-1538B1. RNAcentral describes it as "bacterial SSU rRNA". It matches the Rfam family "Bacterial small subunit ribosomal RNA", at positions 84 to 1428 of the family's 1533-position model. The record is from RNAcentral. Lineage: Bacteria; Bacillati; Actinomycetota; Actinomycetes; Mycobacteriales; Mycobacteriaceae.
GGGGUACUCGAGUGGCGAACGGGUGAGUAACACAUGGGUGAUCUGCCCUGCACUUUGGGAUAAGCCUGGGAAACUGGGUACUAAUACCGAAUAGGACCACGCGCUUCAUGGUGUGUGGUGGAAAGCUUUUGCGGUGUGGGAUGGGCCCGCGGCCUAUCAGCUUGUUGGUGGGGUAAUGGCCUACCAAGGCGACGACGGGUAGCCGGCCUGAGAGGGUGACCGGCCACACUGGGACUGAGAUACGGCCCAGACUCCUACGGGAGGCAGCAGUGGGGAAUAUUGCACAAUGGGCGCAAGCCUGAUGCAGCGACGCCGCGUGAGGGAUGACGGCCUUUCGGGUUGUAAACCUCUUUCAAUAGGGACGAAGCGCAAGUGACGGUACCUAUAGAAGAAGCACCGGCCAACUACGUGCCAGCAGCCGCGGUAAUACGUAGGGUGCGAGCGUUGUCCGGAAUUACUGGGCGUAAAGAGCUCGUAGGUGGUUUGUCGCGUUGUUCGUGAAAACUCACAGCUUAACUGUGGGCGUGCGGGCGAUACGGGCAGACUAGAGUACUGCAGGGGAGACUGGAAUUCCUGGUGUAGCGGUGGAAUGCGCAGAUAUCAGGAGGAACACCGGUGGCGAAGGCGGGUCUCUGGGCAGUAACUGACGCUGAGGAGCGAAAGCGUGGGGAGCGAACAGGAUUAGAUACCCUGGUAGUCCACGCCGUAAACGGUGGGUACUAGGUGUGGGUUCCUUCCUUGGGAUCCGUGCCGUAGCUAACGCAUUAAGUACCCCGCCUGGGGAGUACGGCCGCAAGGCUAAAACUCAAAGGAAUUGACGGGGGCCCGCACAAGCGGCGGAGCAUGUGGAUUAAUUCGAUGCAACGCGAAGAACCUUACCUGGGUUUGACAUGCACAGGACGCCGGCAGAGAUGUCGGUUCCCUUGUGGCCUGUGUGCAGGUGGUGCAUGGCUGUCGUCAGCUCGUGUCGUGAGAUGUUGGGUUAAGUCCCGCAACGAGCGCAACCCUUGUCCUAUGUUGCCAGCGGGUUAUGCCGGGGACUCGUAGGAGACUGCCGGGGUCAACUCGGAGGAAGGUGGGGAUGACGUCAAGUCAUCAUGCCCCUUAUGUCCAGGGCUUCACACAUGCUACAAUGGCCGGUACAAAGGGCUGCGAUGCCGUGAGGUGGAGCGAAUCCUUUCAAAGCCGGUCUCAGUUCGGAUCGGGGUCUGCAACUCGACCCCGUGAAGUCGGAGUCGCUAGUAAUCGCAGAUCAGCAACGCUGCGGUGAAUACGUUCCCGGGCCUUGUACACACCGCCCGUCACGUCAUGAAAGUCGGUAACACCCGAAGCC